Molecule: transfer RNA, 61 nt
Filed under: Phascolosoma esculenta
Lineage: Eukaryota; Metazoa; Annelida; Sipuncula; Phascolosomatiformes; Phascolosomatidae
Description: tRNA-His
Source: RNAcentral
GCUCAUAUAGUUUAAAAAAAACAAUAAAUUGUGGCUUUAUAAAUGCCUAUCGCUAUGAGCC